This 28-nucleotide non-coding RNA is filed under the name Rattus norvegicus (Norway rat). The record is from RNAcentral. Lineage: Eukaryota; Metazoa; Chordata; Mammalia; Rodentia; Muridae.
UAUCCAGCAAUACAGACAUGCUCCAAGG